This 34-nucleotide ribosomal RNA is filed under the name Tuber indicum. Its description in RNAcentral is "partial 18S ribosomal RNA". Lineage: Eukaryota; Fungi; Ascomycota; Pezizomycetes; Pezizales; Tuberaceae. The record is from RNAcentral.
AGGUUUCAGUAGGUGAACCUGCGGAAGGAUCAUU